GUUUCACAUGAACCCUUGAUGGGUUGAAGC
Non-coding RNA from Haloquadratum walsbyi DSM 16790, 30 nucleotides. The record is from Rfam. Lineage: Archaea; Methanobacteriati; Methanobacteriota; Halobacteria; Halobacteriales; Haloferacaceae.